Molecule: ribosomal RNA, 182 nt
Filed under: Fluviicola sp. enrichment culture DGGE band BES-CAP-3-1
Lineage: Bacteria; Pseudomonadati; Bacteroidota; Flavobacteriia; Flavobacteriales; Crocinitomicaceae
Description: partial 16S ribosomal RNA
Rfam family: Bacterial small subunit ribosomal RNA
Source: RNAcentral
CCUACGGGAGGCAGCAGUGAGGAAUAUUGGUCAAUGGGCGCAAGCCUGAACCAGCCAUGCCGCGUGCAGGAAGACGGUCCUAUGGAUUGUAAACUGCUUUUAUUCGGGGAUAAACCUCCUUACGUGUAGGGAGCUGAAGGUACCGAAAGAAUAAGCACCGGCUAACUCCGUGCCAGCAGCCG